This 420-nucleotide unclassified non-coding RNA is filed under the name fungal sp. RNAcentral's name for it is "partial internal transcribed spacer region". The stretch from base 1 to 46 matches the Rfam family "Eukaryotic small subunit ribosomal RNA", at positions 1786 to 1831 of the family's 1831-position model. The record is from RNAcentral. Lineage: Eukaryota; Fungi.
AAGUCGUAACAAGGUUUCCGUAGGUGAACCUGCGGAAGGAUCAUUAACACGUAUCCAAACGUUAAAACCCCCCUGUGAACCUUUAUUAGUGCGCCCCGUCACGUACCCGAGCCGUAGGAUGUGGUAAAUCAUUGCGUAGUGGUGGGGUUCUCUCAUUGCUACAGAGAUUAGAUUCAGGACCUACGGUUUGGUGACGGCUGCGAGCUAGAAGCGACUGGUAGCCUAAGCAAUAACUUGUCUGACAGUGUCAUUUAUUGUGUAAGCUAACGCCUUAAGCGUGCACUGGCCAACACGGCUGGUGUCAGGUCCCGGGCCCUCGUGGCUCCCUACCACCCCAUUUAAAGAUGAAGGGCUAUGGCCAAGUGGCAGGAUGCCCAGAACAAAAACGUACAACUGUUAACAAUGGAUAUCUUGGUUCUC